AUGAAGGGUGCGCAGACGCUCCUCGCCUUCAAGAGCAGCGGCGCGUACGUCAUCAACACGUACAAUCUCACCGGGUACCGCCCGCUCAGCGCGGCGUCCACGCCGAUCACGUUCGAGGCCACCGAGCUCGCCGCCGACGAGGGCGCCGAUGGGAAGGUGCGGCUCUACAGCACGCUGCAGCUGCCCAAGGGCAUGGAGGCCGUGAACCACAUCUGGCAGGUAGGGUCGACGGUGGCCAAUGGGGUGCCGGCCAAGCACGCGUUCGCGCAGGAGAACCUGGAGGCGAAGGGCAGUCUCGUGCUCACCGGUGCCGGAGCGACGGAGGCCGCGCCAGCUCCGGUGUUUAUCUCUCACGACUAUCUCGAUUAA
This 369-nucleotide ribosomal RNA is filed under the name Triticum aestivum (bread wheat). Its description in RNAcentral is "partial small subunit ribosomal RNA". Lineage: Eukaryota; Viridiplantae; Streptophyta; Magnoliopsida; Poales; Poaceae. The record is from RNAcentral.